Molecule: ribosomal RNA, 490 nt
Filed under: uncultured bacterium
Lineage: Bacteria
Description: partial 16S ribosomal RNA
Rfam family: Bacterial small subunit ribosomal RNA
Source: RNAcentral
AUUGAACGCUGGCGGCAGGCCUAACACAUGCAAGUCGAACGGUAACAGGAAGCAGCUUGCUGCUUUGCUGACGAGUGGCGGACGGGUGAGUAAUGUCUGGGAAACUGCCUGAUGGAGGGGGAUAACUACUGGAAACGGUAGCUAAUACCGCAUAACGUCGCAAGACCAAAGAGGGGGACCUUAGGGCCUCUUGCCAUCGGAUGUGCCCAGAUGGGAUUAGCUAGUAGGUGGGGUAACGGCUCACCUAGGCGACGAUCCCUAGCUGGUCUGAGAGGAUGACCAGCCACACUGGAACUGAGACACGGUCCAGACUCCUACGGGAGGCAGCAGUGGGGAAUAUUGCACAAUGGGCGCAAGCCUGAUGCAGCCAUGCCGCGUGUAUGAAGAAGGCCUUCGGGUUGUAAAGUACUUUCAGCAGGGAGGAAGGGAGUAAAGUUAAUACCUUUGCUCAUUGACGUUACCCGCAGAAGAAGCACCGGCUAACUCCGUG